GUGCCAGCAGCCGCGGUAAUACGGAGGGAGCUAGCGUUGUUCGGAAUUACUGGGCGUAAAGCGCACGUAGGCGGCGAUUCAAGUCAGAGGUGAAAGCCCGGGGCUCAACCCCGGAACUGCCUUUGAAACUAGAUUGCUAGGAUCCUGGAGAGGUGAGUGGAAUUCCGAGUGUAGAGGUGAAAUUCGUAGAUAUUCGGAAGAACACCAGUGGCGAAGCGACUCACUGGACAGGUAUUGACGCUGAGGUGCGAAAGCGUGGGGGAGCAAACAGGAUUAGAUACCCUGGUAGUCC
Molecule: ribosomal RNA, 292 nt
Filed under: uncultured microorganism
Description: partial 16S ribosomal RNA
Rfam family: Bacterial small subunit ribosomal RNA
Source: RNAcentral